GAUACAAACCCAUAUGGUUAUGGCAUCCAAGGGGGAGUGUUAUAAAUCAUUAAGUGGAUGGGCCAUAACCAAUGACCAAGACAAGGCCCAAACCGUGGCCGAAGGAGGAGAGAGAGAGGCGGUCGUCCGAGGAGAGAGAGUCGGCACUGCCUUUAGGACGUUUUCCUUUUCUAUGUUUUAGAUAUUUUCUUAUUUCAUGUUGUAUUAGGUUUUAGAUAAUUUCUUUUUUCCUAUACUUUGUAAUUCCUAUAUAAAGAACAUAUAUUGUUCAUUAAUAAUACACAGACAAUUCCCCAUUCUUUUACAUCAAUAAUAGAAUUCUGCAAUUGAUUUUUAGAAUUAUUUACAAGAAAAUGGCACUGCCUUUUUGGAUUUUUUAUAAUUAAUUCGCUUACCAUAAUUAUAGCCAAUCAUAAAUCACGUUUUUUUUCUUCUCAAUUAUAGCCAAACAGUAUUAACCAAUCAUAAAUCACGUUUUUAUCUUCUCAAUUAUAGCCAAACAAUAUUUAAUAACUUUCUAACUUCUCAAGUUUUUAAAGUAAAUUCGCCGGCCAUAAUCAAUUCUAUUAAAACAAGAUCAUGUUAUGUCCAACUAUAUAUUCCAUUUCUUUAAAGAGCCUCUUAUUAUUUUCUUUAUAUAAUUAUAUCUAAUUUUAUUUAAACAAUAACCACUACAUUAGGGCGAUUAUCAACAAGUAAAAAAAAACUAAUCCUACCUUAAUAUACGUUCUAUAACAAUAACACUAAAUUUUUCUAUAAAUACACAUUAGCCACUACGUUAGGAUAAUCCUACGUUAUAUAACUAUAUAUAAAUUAAAUUUCUUUAAUAUAUAAGAGAAAAAUUACAUAUUUAUAGAAACACAAAAAAAAAUUACAAACCAACAUUAUAACCGCGAAUCAAGAUCUAGAACAUAAAUAUAUGAUUACAAAGAAACGAGUAUACAAGCGUAUUGAUUACAAAGAAUCGAACGUAUGUCGAAUCAACUUUUAAAAUUGUUAUCUUAUAUAUAUAAAGUAGAGUUGUGCUCUACGCACAGCCCUCCACGUCAGCAAGGAGGAAGGGGCGUUUUGUGCCACGUGUCAAGCAUUAUUCAAUCUUCCUAUUUUGUUCUCGCGGUCGAAUUGAGUUACAUAUGGGCUUUUAGUUUAUUUGGCCCUUUUUAUAUCAUUAUUAGGUCCCAGGUUACAUAGAGUUCUUUGGAACAAAGAAACUGCAUCUAUUAUUGCCGUGUCCGUUCGGUUCUCAUCUUUCCGAUCUACUUCUCUGUAACGGGUUCAGUUUUGGUUGACCUCCUCCAUUAAUUCAAGCACUAAACUGCACUCCACCUCUCCUCCCAUUCAGCCUCAUUUACGCAGCCUUAUCAUCGUCUAAGGGAUGUCAAUGUUUAUGUUAGUUUGUUGCCAGUUUUUUCUUCGCUUAUGUGGUCUUUAGAAUUUACCUGGGAUGGAGCUAUGUUGGAGGUAGACUACUUUCUGCGGUUAUUACAUACGAUGAGAACGGAUGGUAUGUGGGUGAAGCCACCAGAGGUUUGCAUUUCAAAGUCUAUUCCUUUGUUAAUUUAGACAAUACAAACAAAAGUAACCCACAAGUUUACUCACUACAAAGUUACCACCAGUUUCCACAGUUUUUGUCAUUUGUGAAUCCUUGAAGUGGAUAUUUCUGAUCCUUAUACUUUCUAAGAGAUGUAAAAGUUGUGGAAGUAACUGUGAAUGCAAAGCAAAAUCUAUUUAAACACACAAGGAUGUGAACUAUAUCGACUAGACGUCAAGUGUUUAAGGAUAGUCUGCGAGGAGGAGUACUAAUUGCUCAAAACAUAGAUGUUUCUUUGGAUAAUUUCCCUUAUUUUCUAAGUGCUACUACGAAGAAUGUUCUAAAAGCAUGGAUGUCUGUCCAUAUGAAGGGUGGAAGCAAGUUCACAAAGGAUGUUUUAAAUCUGAUUGAAUCUGAUGCUAUGUUGCUAGAAUUGUUUGACCGUUAAAUUGAUAGAUUUAUUUUCUCA
Long non-coding RNA from Brassica napus (rape), 2000 nucleotides. RefSeq lists it as uncharacterized. The transcript is spliced from 4 exons. The record is from RefSeq and is a predicted model, not a curated record. Lineage: Eukaryota; Viridiplantae; Streptophyta; Magnoliopsida; Brassicales; Brassicaceae.